Lolium perenne is the source of this 3908-nucleotide non-coding RNA. Lineage: Eukaryota; Viridiplantae; Streptophyta; Magnoliopsida; Poales; Poaceae. The record is from RefSeq and is a predicted model, not a curated record.
GGUGAGAUGAAUCAGUGAAACUGCUAGCUGCAAGUCUGCAUUUUGGUACUGGUUUUACUAAAACUUGUGCAUCUUGGUAUUGUUGUAACUCAAACCGUGAUCAGUUUUGUAUUGUAUAAAAUUGCUAUAUGUUUUACAGUAGAAGUGAAACAAAACAGGCUGGAAAUCACCUGCCGCCCUAGCAGGCCAGGAGCGCGCCCAUCCCAGCCGAACGACCAGGAGCGCGCCGAAUGUUCUGCGCUCCGACCGGGAAGCUAGCGAUCGUUUGGGAAGCCGGAUCCAAGGAUUUUCGGGAAGCUGGUCGAUUCCCGAACACGCCCUUAGGCUCAAAGGUCUCGCUUGGUCAACCGAGGGGAGCCCUAUCACAAUCCUCACCGCCCCCAUCCCACUCGCCACCACACCCCUCUCCUCGCAGCUCCGACCAGCGCUGCCGAGUGGCACGCGGAUGGAAGCAGCGGCGACGAACGCACACAUCCGGCUAUUAAUCCCACCAGCCUCGCAAUAGAUUACACCCAUCCGGCCAGAUCGACGACCGCGGUGCCUAGGUCGACGGCCGGUAACAUCUUCAUCGACCGGUCCUUUGGGGCCUUAUUCUCCUCCGCGUGAGUGCUGCUGGCGCGCAUGACAGCCAUGGUGCCGAAGGAUGCGAUCUCGCCCACCUGGCCGGGGAGAUGCUGGGUCAACGGGUGACUAUGUGCGUGCAUGGCUCCUUAUGACCGCAGCGCCCUGAUGUGUCCGCAAAACUGCAGAAGUGCCUAUGGCAUCAGAUCCCUUCAGGCUCCAUCUUCCUAUUAGAGCAGAGAACACGUACCAACAACACCGCUUGCUUUCUUGUAGCAAGCUAUUUGUGAAUGCAUCCUUUACUCUUUAUCAUGCAUCGUGCUAUUUCCACUUUGAUUUUAUGUUUUCUUCGUCUUAGAAAAGAUUUGGAGGUCAAAAGCAUAAUGCUGACAUGACCAGUGGAAUAAUAGAAGUUGCAGAUAUUACAGACAUUAUUGUAUGGCUCAGAAUAUCUUUGCGAAUAUUGUUAAUUGUUGGUUUGUCUGGUAUUUUCUGGAUGAAAAUAUGAAAAAUGCAGAAUUAAUCUUACAAGUGGUUUAGCUUCUUGGCUCAUAGACCAGGACACUUGAUUCUCAUCAUUUUCUACAAUGGAGCAAUUUGUCAUCGAUCUCAACUGCUGUUAUUACUACUAUUACGUUCAACAAGUCCCUUAUCUCCAUUAUUGUGAAUGGGAAUGUCUCAGCGUGGCCAUCUGAAGGCUGUAACAAAUUGAAGUUUAAGUAAGUUUCUAACAUGAUGUAAGGUCGUUGUGUUCUAUUAGUUUGUUUCUAAAUUUAGAUUAGAUGUUCCGUGUGUGCUCUGAAUAUGCAUUCUUUAUCUGCUUCCAACUAGAGAAACACUUUCAUGUACUGGUCAUCUAAAACACUACAGGUACCCUAGCUGAUAUAGUAGUGCAAUUGGUAUUGCUGGUGGAGUCAUCGCUGCUGGCUGAUUUGUUCCUUGCUAUUUAUCCAUGUCCUUCUUCUUUGAGAUACAAAUGGUCCAUAUUAUUGACUUAUUGUGGCAGCAAGGUCAAGCUCUAUGGAGGUGUGCAGAGUGAGGAUCAUCUUAAGAAUUCAUGUUGGGUGUUUUUCUCUAGGUUAUUUCUUUGUAUAUAUAGUGUUGACGCUUGUUUUGAAUAUACCCAUGAAUCAGAUAAAAGAGACUUUAAAUGUAUGAGAAAUAUUGGAAAGAGAAUGAUCUAUUCCAGUGUGAAGUUAACUCAGAUAAAUCUGCUCAUUGUUUCGCAAUGUACGUGUAGGUGAUCCCCACAUCCGUUUUUGGUACAUAUAUUAGUUACUUGUUGAUUUGCUCUAGAAGUGAGUGAAUGGUUGAGAUAAGUUAAUAAUUUUAGUACAGGGUUGUAUCUUUUUGUGGAAUUCCAUUUGCUACCUAAAGAUGGUGAAUGUGCAUGUGUAGGCGUAUGUUUUGAUGUAUUUCUCGAAGUGUUGUACCAGCCGACGUCUUGGAGCAUCCAUCGCCUCGAAGGUCCACCGUCGGCAUGUCCUCAAGCUCUUAGAUUUGUGAAUUCUUAGUCCUAUGAGGCCCUCUAAGUGAGCAAGCUCCAGCAGUUAAGCCCAGAUUAAACUCUAGCAUUGUUGAUUGGUUCAUGGUGCCUUGUGAUGCAGAUGACAGUACUCGUUUGGCUGCUGAUGUUGUAUCAACCACUAUCGAAAUCACCAUCAGAAGGCAAAAUGAUUGGCCAGGACAAGUGUCGACACCAACAUCCUCUGUCCAGCAAAGCUAACACAAGAUGAAGAUGAUGCUUCUUUCUAGCAACAUUUCUAUGCAUAUUACCCAUGCUAAAAGAGUACACUUUCUAACCUUCAUAUGCCAAACAUGAGGAGGAAUGCCAAGGACGGGAUUUUUUUUCGCAUUCAGCCAGAGAUAUAGCUCCUAACUUUCCUUGUAAUCAAAUAAGCUUUUUCCUAAUACAAUGACCCUACUUACGCUACAAUAGCUUGAAUGUAUAUGAUUUAUUACAGUAUUAGGGUAACCAAUUUUCCAGGUACGUAGAUAAAACCAUAAUCUAUGAACAAAUUGAUUCAUGCCACAUUUCUGUGCUCUUUUCUUCCUUUAUAUGUCAGCUUCAGUUAAGUUUGCCAGUAUUAAUUUAUACAAAUGAGCUCUUGUGUCCCAUAUUAAUUUAACCAGUUAUGAUCGAGAAAUAAAUAUACAUUGGUUACAUCCGGUGUAUUUGCCAGUAGCAUACUAGGAGCAAACUAUUGAGCUACAUUUUAGUAAAAUUCAAAUGAGUAUACUCUACCGGUUCUCCUUGGUGGUUGGAUAGUGCCAGUGUUACUUGUUAGAUAUAUCAAGGAUUUAGUGCAGGUUGAUACUUAUAUUUGUGGUUUGAUAUGCAAUGAAUCAUGAUCAAUUAAGUGAAAGUACUUAUACCUCUACUAAGUGUCUGGUUUGGAUGCGUUUGGAUAUAUUCUCCCAUUUAUUUCAAAAAUCCACAUUCAGAAUUUGAGAGACUCACUUGCUCAGGCAAAGUUGGACACGGUUGUUAAGGUUAGGUCUUGCUUGCACUUGGCACCAUUUAUAUUCAGCACUGGUCUUGAAGGUCAAAAUAUUUGAAUUUCUAUGUAAGGGCAUGUACAACGCCGCCACUUACAUGGGGUGCUAGGAUGAACUUCCCAUCCAUUAUGCGUGAUUCCCAGUCAUAUAUACUCGGGAUUUUGCUUAGCAUCGGCUCUUUCCUUUGUGGCGGCGCUAGCCAAGAAAAUGACCCCACUACAUGAAUUUAGGAGGGCGUUAGCCUAUGGUUGGUAUUUACUUUUAAUUCAGUAGUGACUGGAAUUAGCGCCCAGCAUAGAGCCUAGAACGCUUAGCUGAUAAUCAGAAUUUAUGGAAAUUAUUUUUAUGAACUUAAACGCCUGCAUAAGCAGCUAGCCUUGUACAUGCCCUGAAACCUCUGAAUCUUAAGUCUACUUCUUAGUAAUGUUGCCUAACGAGCCUUUUUAUCCUUUAUUCUCGAGAGAUGCAUUUUUUUCCUUUUCAAUUAUUCCGUUAGCAGAACAGUAGCACCAUCUGACACUAACAUCCUGCCUUUUGGUUUCAGACUUGUUAUUCUAAGAAGCACGUGUAUCAUCUUUCACUAAAGAAAUUGGGACCUUGGAGAUAUAUCACUUUACAUAGCCUUUGAAGUACAUUCAGUUACCGAAUAAUCAUCGGAGCAUUACACUCUUUAAUCAACGAUAGUGUCCCCUCUUGAAACAAAAAUCUGUGUGUGUGGGUGCACACCAUUAGUUCUCUCAGGUCCAUAUGAUGUCUGCGAAGAGAUUUGUUUUACCUUGACAUGAAACAUUUAUGUUGAAUCAAUAUUUGAUGUAUGAAUGGAAAGUUGGAAACCAUGUGAACGGAAA